RNAcentral lists this ribosomal RNA (538 nucleotides) under uncultured bacterium. Its description in RNAcentral is "bacterial SSU rRNA". It matches the Rfam family "Bacterial small subunit ribosomal RNA", at positions 57 to 689 of the family's 1533-position model. The record is from RNAcentral.
GCAAGUCGAGGGACCGGCGCACGGGUGAGUAACACGUAUCCAACCUGCCCUUACUCGGGGAUAGCCUUUCGAAAGAAAGAUUAAUACCCGAUGUAAAGGAUGGGGAUGCGUUCCAUUAGGUUGUUGGUGAGGUCACGGCUCACCAAGCCUUCGAUGGAUAGGGGUUCUGAGAGGAAGGUCCCCCACAUUGGAACUGAGACACGGUCCAAACUCCUACGGGAGGCAGCAGUGAGGAAUAUUGGUCAAUGGGCGCUAGCCUGAACCAGCCAAGUAGCGUGAAGGAUGAAGGCUUAUGGGUCGUAAACUUCUUUUAUAUAAGAAUAUGUAUUAUAUGAAUAAGGAUCGGCUAACUCCGUGCCAGCAGCCGCGGUAAUACGGAGGAUCCGAGCGUUAUCCGGAUUUAUUGGGUUUAAAGGGAGCGUAGUGGACUGGUAAGUCAGUUGUGAAAGUUUGCGGCUCAACCGUAAAAUUGCAGUUGAUACUGUCAGUCUUGAGUACAGUAGAGGUGGGCGGAAUUCGUGGUGUAGCGGUGAAAUGC